CAGAAUAAAGCUGAAAUAUAAGCAUCUCAUUUACACCGAGAAGGUUAUCGUGAAAUUCGAUUUAUUUUGA
RNAcentral lists this transfer RNA (70 nucleotides) under Pacifastacus leniusculus (signal crayfish). Its description in RNAcentral is "tRNA-Val". Lineage: Eukaryota; Metazoa; Arthropoda; Malacostraca; Decapoda; Astacidae. The record is from RNAcentral.